This 799-nucleotide ribosomal RNA is filed under the name uncultured bacterium. RNAcentral's name for it is "bacterial SSU rRNA". It matches the Rfam family "Bacterial small subunit ribosomal RNA", at positions 62 to 855 of the family's 1533-position model. The record is from RNAcentral.
UCGAGCGGCAGCGCGGGGGCAACCCUGGCGGCGAGCGGCGAACGGGUGAGUAACACAUCGGAACGUACCCUGUCGUGGGGGAUAGCCCGGCGAAAGCCGGAUUAAUACCGCAUACGACCUGAGGGUGAAAGCGGGGGAUCGCAAGACCUCGCGCGAUAGGAGCGGCCGAUGGCGGAUUAGCUAGUUGGUGAGGUAAAGGCUCACCAAGGCGACGAUCCGUAGCUGGUCUGAGAGGACGACCAGCCACACUGGAACUGAGACACGGUCCAGACUCCUACGGGAGGCAGCAGUGGGGAAUUUUGGACAAUGGGGGCAACCCUGAUCCAGCCAUUCCGCGUGAGUGAAGAAGACCUUCGGGUUGUAAAGCUCUUUCGGCAGGAACGAAACGGUGGAGGCUAAUACCUUUCAUCAAUGACGGUACCUGAAGAAGAAGCACCGGCUAACUACGUGCCAGCAGCCGCGGUAAUACGUAGGGUGCGAGCGUUAAUCGGAAUUACUGGGCGUAAAGCGUGCGCAGGCGGUUCUAUAAGACAGAUGUGAAAUCCCCGGGCUUAACCUGGGAACUGCGUUUGUGACUGUAGGACUGGAGUGUAACAGAGGGGGGUGGAAUUCCACGUGUAGCAGUGAAAUGCAUAGAGAUGUGGAGGAACACCGAUGGCGAAGGCAGCCCCCUGGGUUAACACUGACGCUCAUGCACGAAAGCGUGGGGAGCAAACAGGAUUAGAUACCCUGGUAGUCCACGCCCUAAACGAUGCGAACUAGGUGUUGGAGAAGGAGACUUCUUUAGUACCGUAGCUAA